CCCUUAGAUGUCCUGGGCCGCACGCGCGCUACACUGAUGCAUGCAACGAGUUUAUAACCUUGGCCUGAAAGGUCUGGGUAAUCUUUUGAACGUGCAUCGUGAUAGGGAUAGAUUAUUGCAAUUGUUAAUCUUGAACGAGGAAUUCCUAGUAAACGCGAGUCAUCAGCUCGCAUUGAUUACGUCCCUGCCCUUUGUACACACCGCCCGUCGCACCUACCGAUUGAAUGGUUCGGUGAAGAUCUCGGACUUCGAUAUUUAUUCUUUAUUGAGUUUAUAUUGUGGGAAGUUAGCUAAACCUCAUCAUUUAGAGGAAGGUGAAGUCGUAACA
RNAcentral lists this ribosomal RNA (328 nucleotides) under uncultured eukaryote. RNAcentral's name for it is "partial 18S ribosomal RNA". It matches the Rfam family "Eukaryotic small subunit ribosomal RNA", at positions 1470 to 1796 of the family's 1831-position model. The record is from RNAcentral.